This 253-nucleotide ribosomal RNA is filed under the name uncultured bacterium. RNAcentral's name for it is "partial 16S ribosomal RNA". It matches the Rfam family "Bacterial small subunit ribosomal RNA", at positions 524 to 776 of the family's 1533-position model. The record is from RNAcentral.
UACGUAGGGUGCGAGCGUUGUCCGGAAUUAUUGGGCGUAAAGAGCUUGUAGGCGGUUUGUCGCGUCUGCUGUGAAAAUCCGGGGCUCAACCCCGGACUUGCAGUGGGUACGGGCAGGCUAGAGUGUGGUAGGGGAGACUGGAAUUCCCGGUGUAGCGGUGGAAUGCGCAGAUAUCAGGAGGAACACCGAUGGCGAAGGCAGGUCUCUGGGCCACUACUGACGCUGAGAAGCGAAAGCGUGGGGAGCGAACAGG